Molecule: long non-coding RNA, 302 nt
Filed under: Brassica napus (rape)
Lineage: Eukaryota; Viridiplantae; Streptophyta; Magnoliopsida; Brassicales; Brassicaceae
Description: long non-coding RNA (BNAP_LNC004428)
Source: RNAcentral
UUGGGAGUGAUUUAUUUUGCUGCCUUAUAAGGAGAGAAUAGAGAACCUUCAAGAUUGCAAGUAGAAAAUCAAGAUGGCUUAUUUAUUCGUAUUUGAGGAACUCAGUUGAAGGGUGAGAAUCUUAGGAAUUCAUAGAAGGAACUGGGUGAAGAGAAUUUCGAAGAAUAGUAUGAGGACUGUGUCAUGUACAAGUUCAUAAAGUGGAGAUGUGGGAGAAGGAAACCAAAUUCAACCUAAAAUUAAGCAGAUUUGAAGUAAAUUCCAAGGAAGAUUGAAGAGUGCAAGGAAAAAGGUAUAACCAU